GAUGAAGAACGCAGCGAAAUGCGAUAACUAGUGUGAAUUGCAGAAUUCCGUGAAUCAUCGAGUCUUUGAACGCACAUUGCGCCCCCUGGUAUUCCGGGGGGCAUGCCUGUCCGAGCGUCAUUGCUGCCCAUCAAGCACGGCUUGUGUGUUGGGUCGUCGUCCCCCCCUCCGGGGGGGGCCGGGCCCUAAAGGCAGCGGCGGCACCGCGUCCGAUCCUCGAGCGUAUGGGGCUUUGUCACCCGCUCUGUAGGCCCGGCCGGCGCUUGCCGAACGCAAAACAACCAUUCUUUCCAGGUUGACCUCGGAUCAGGUAGGGAUACCCGCUGAACUUAAGCAUAUCAAUAAGCGGAGGA
Molecule: unclassified non-coding RNA, 353 nt
Filed under: soil metagenome
Description: partial contains 5.8S ribosomal RNA, internal transcribed spacer 2, and large subunit ribosomal RNA
Rfam family: 5.8S ribosomal RNA (bases 1-120)
Source: RNAcentral